AUGUCCACUCUCACCACUCCUAUUCAACACAGUACUGGAAAUCCUGGCCAGAGUAAUCAGUCAGGAGAAAUAAAAGCAAUCCAAAUAGGAAAAAGGGAAGUCAAAUUAUCUCUGUUCACCAAAGACAUGAUCCUCCAUCUAGAAACCUCUAAAGAUUCCUCCAAAAUACUCCUAGACUUGAAAAACAAGUUCAGUAAAGUUUCAGGUUACAACAUGAGCAUACAAAAAUCAGUAGCAUUUCUAUACACUAAAAAUGCUCAAGCUGACAGCCAAGUCAAGAACUUAAUCCCAUUUAAAAUAGCCACACACACACACACACACACACACACAAAUAAACUAAACACCUAGGAAUAUAUUUAACCAAGGAGGUGAAAGAUCUCUACUGGGAGAACUACAAAACACUGAUGAAAGAAAUAAUAGACAACACAAACAAAUGGGAAAACAUUCCAUGCUUGUGGACUGGAAGAAUCAAUAUUGUUAA
This 481-nucleotide long non-coding RNA is filed under the name Homo sapiens (human). Its description in RNAcentral is "long non-coding RNA NONHSAT006243.2". Lineage: Eukaryota; Metazoa; Chordata; Mammalia; Primates; Hominidae. The record is from RNAcentral.